AUUGAACGCUGGCGGCAGGCCUAACACAUGCAAGUCGAGCGGCAGCACAGUGCUUGCUCGUUGUUUCAGCGGCCGACGGGCGAGUAAUGCCUAAGUACAUCGGUGGCUGCUUUGUCUAGCGUGCGAACGCAGGCACUCUUACCCCAAUAGUCCUGAGGACCUACGUGUGGAAUCAUCGGACCUCAGGCUAUUGGAUGAGUCGAUGUCGCAUUAGCUAGUUGGCGGGGUAAAGGCGUACCAAGGCGACGAUCCGUAGCUGGUCUGAGAGGAUGAUCAGUCACACUGGAACUGAGACACGGUCCAGACUCCUACGGGAGGCAGCAGUGGGGAAUAUUGGACAAUGGGCGAAAGCCUGAUCCAGCCAUGCCGCGUGUGUGAAGAAGGUCUUCGGAUUGUAAAGCACUUUAAGUUGGGAGGAAGAGCAGUAAGUUAAUACCUUGCUGUUCUGACGUUACCAACAGAAUAAGCACCGGCUAACUUCGUG
This 484-nucleotide ribosomal RNA is filed under the name uncultured bacterium. RNAcentral's name for it is "partial 16S ribosomal RNA". It matches the Rfam family "Bacterial small subunit ribosomal RNA", at positions 30 to 507 of the family's 1533-position model. The record is from RNAcentral.